Molecule: ribosomal RNA, 465 nt
Filed under: uncultured bacterium
Lineage: Bacteria
Description: partial 16S ribosomal RNA
Rfam family: Bacterial small subunit ribosomal RNA
Source: RNAcentral
CCUACGGGUGGCAGCAGUGGGGAAUAUUGCGCAAUGGGCGAAAGCCUGACGCAGCGACGCCGCGUGAGGGAUGAAGGUCUUCGGAUCGUAAACCUCUGUCAGCAGGGAAGAACGGUCACUGUGCUAAUCAGCAGUGAAUUGACGGUACCUGCAAAGGAAGCACCGGCUAACUCCGUGCCAGCAGCCGCGGUAAUACGGAGGGUGCGAGCGUUAAUCGGAAUUACUGGGCGUAAAGCGCUCGUAGGCGGUAUGUCAAGUCAAGGGGGAAAUCCCCGCGCGCAACGUGGGAACUGCCUUUGAAACGGGCAAACUGGAGUGUGUGAGAGGAUAGUGGAUUUCCAGGUGUAGGAGUGAAAUCGGUAAAUAGCGGGAGGAACAUCAGGGGAGAGGGCGACUAUCUGGCACAUAACUGACGCUGAGGAGCGAAAGCGUGGGUAGCAAACAGGAUUAGAUACCCUAGUAGUC